AAGAUUGACGAUUGGUAAGAAUCCACAACAAGUUGUUCUUCAUAGAUGUAUCUGAGGGUCUGUAGCUCAGUUGGUUAGAGCACACGCUUGAUAAGCGUGGGGUCACAAGUUCAAGUCUUGUCAGACCCACCAUGACUUUGACUGGUUAAAGUUAUAGAUAAAAGAUACAUGACUGAUGAUGUAAGCUGGGGACUUAGCUUAGUUGGUAGAGCGCCUGCUUUGCACGCAGGAGGUCAGGAGUUCGACUCUCCUAGUCUCCACCAGAACUUAAGAGAAGUUCGGAUUACAGAAAUUAGUAAAUAGAGAUUUAGAUCUUGGUUUAUUAACUUCUGUGAUUUAAGUAUCACGGUAUUAAGCAUGACCUGACGAAGGCGUGUUUAUUCAUUAACAGAUUGGCAAAAUUGAGUCUGAAAUAAAUUGUUCACUCAAGAGUUUAGAUUAAGCAAUUAAUCUAGAUGAAUUGAGAACUAGCAAAUUAACUGAAUCAAGCGUUUUGGUAUAUGAAUUUAGAUUGAAGCUGUACAGUGUUUAAGUACACAGACAACAGAUAGUAGCGAUGAAGAAUCGCACGGACAACACUCACUUGUAGGUGUUGACGACUGUUUGGGGUUGUAU
Molecule: transfer RNA, 615 nt
Filed under: Acinetobacter pittii
Lineage: Bacteria; Pseudomonadati; Pseudomonadota; Gammaproteobacteria; Moraxellales; Moraxellaceae
Description: partial miscellaneous RNA
Rfam family: tRNA (bases 56-129)
Source: RNAcentral